This 429-nucleotide long non-coding RNA is filed under the name Athene cunicularia (burrowing owl). Its description in RNAcentral is "lncRNA (ENSACUG00000013178.1)". The record is from RNAcentral. Lineage: Eukaryota; Metazoa; Chordata; Aves; Strigiformes; Strigidae.
AUGAACGGGCCGGGAGCCCCCCGGGACCGCGCCGGCCCGUCGCCAGGCAGAGCCAGCCACGAGCCCGAGGCCGGCUGCUUGGCCACCGCCUGGGCUUCGAUCCCUGGCCCUGGGGAUGGCACCGGGCGCGUGGACCUGACGGCCAGCGAGGUGCUCCGUGUCACCACCCACCUGAGGAACAUCGACAGGAAAUUUCAGCGCUUCCGCGAGCUCUUCCGACAAGGAGAAGUUAUUUCAGCUUCUGCUGAAGCCAAGCUGGCAGAUUUACUGCAAGCCAUCUCCUCCUUCCUGAACACCUACCCUGCUUUGACUGGGGAUGCCAUCCAGCCUGCGGUAGCGACCCUUGUCGCCAAUAUCAAUGGGCGGUUUCUCGGCCGUCCGUUCGGUCUGUUGCGUUUCUCGGGAGGCAGAAUGUGCUCUCCGGUGUAG